RNAcentral lists this ribosomal RNA (384 nucleotides) under uncultured bacterium. Its description in RNAcentral is "bacterial SSU rRNA". It matches the Rfam family "Bacterial small subunit ribosomal RNA", at positions 28 to 417 of the family's 1533-position model. The record is from RNAcentral.
GACGAACGCUGGCGGCGUGCCUAAUACAUGCAAGUCGAGCGGACCUUUCGGGGGUCAGCGGCGGACGGGUGAGUAACACGUGGGCAAUCUGCCCGAUACUCUGGGAUAACGCUUGGAAACGAGUGCUAAUACCGGAUGGUCUUCUUGGCCGCAUGGCCGAGAAGGAAAAGACGCGUUCGCGUCGGUGUCGGAUGGGCCCGCGGCGCAUUAGCUAGUUGGUGAGGUAACGGCCCACCAAGGCGACGAUGCGUAGCCGACCUGAGAGGGUGACCGGCCACACUGGGACUGAGACACGGCCCAGACUCCUACGGGAGGCAGCAGUAGGGAAUCUUCCACAAUGGGCGAAAGCCUGAUGGAGCAACGCCGCGUGAGUGAUGAAGGCCU